GACGAACGCUGGCGGCGCGCUUAACACAUGCAAGUCGAGCGAUGAAAUUUCGACAGAUCCCUUCGGGGUGAAGAUGAAAUGGAUUAGCGGCGGACGGGUGAGUAACACGUGAGUAACCUGCCUUAGACAUUGGGAUAGCCUCGGGAAACCGGGAUUAAUACCAAAUGAAAUCACAUAUGCACAUGCAUAAAUGAUCAAAGCUCCGGCGGUCUAAGAUGGACUCGCGUCCCAUUAGCUAGUUGGUGAGGUAACGGCCCACCAAGGCGACGAUGGGUAGCCGGCCUGAGAGGGUGAACGGCCACAUUGGAACUGAGAAACGGUCCAAACUCCUACGGGAGGCAGCAGUGGGGAAUAUUGCACAAUGGAGGGAACUCUGAUGCAGCGACGCCGCGUGAACGAAGAAGGCUUUCGAGUCGUAAAGUUCUUUUAUAUGGGAAGAUAAUGACGGUACUAUAAGAAAAAGCCCCGGCUAACUACGUGCCAGCAGCCGCGGUAAUACGUAGGGGGCCAGCGUUGUCCGGAAUCACUGGGCGUAAAGGGUUCGCAGGCGGAAAUGCAAGUCAGGUGUAAAAGGCAGUAGCUUAACUACUGUAAGCAUUUGAAACUGCAUAUCUUGAGAAGAGUAGAGGUAAGUGGAAUUUUUAGUGUAGCGGUGAAAUGCGUAGAUAUUAAAAAGAAUACCGGUGGCGAAGGCGACUUACUGGGCUCAUUCUGACGCUGAGGAACGAAAGCGUGGGUAGCAAACAGG
Molecule: ribosomal RNA, 748 nt
Filed under: uncultured Peptoniphilus sp.
Lineage: Bacteria; Bacillati; Bacillota; Tissierellia; Tissierellales; Peptoniphilaceae
Description: bacterial SSU rRNA
Rfam family: Bacterial small subunit ribosomal RNA
Source: RNAcentral